CCGACCUUAGCUCAGUUGGUAGAGCGGAGGACUGUAGUGAGAUCACUCAAAGUAAUCCUUAGGUCGCUGGUUCGAAUCCGGCAGGUCGGA
Molecule: transfer RNA, 90 nt
Organism: Gossypium arboreum
Lineage: Eukaryota; Viridiplantae; Streptophyta; Magnoliopsida; Malvales; Malvaceae
Rfam family: tRNA
About the family: Transfer RNA (tRNA) molecules are approximately 80 nucleotides in length.
Source: Rfam